GGUUAAGCGACUAAGCGUACACGGUGGAUGCCCUGGCAGUCAGAGGCGAUGAAGGACGUGCUAAUCUGCGAUAAGCGUCGGUAAGGUGAUAUGAACCGUUAUAACCGGCGAUUUCCGAAUGGGGAAACCCAGUGUGUUUCGACACACUAUCAUUAACUGAAUCCAUAGGUUAAUGAGGCGAACCGGGGGAACUGAAACAUCUAAGUACCCCGAGGAAAAGAAAUCAACCGAGAUUCCCCCAGUAGCGGCGAGCGAACGGGGAGCAGCCCAGAGCCUGAAUCAGUGUGUGUGUUAGUGGAAGCGUCUGGAAAGGCGCGCGAUACAGGGUGACAGCCCCGUACACAAAAAUGCACAUGCUGUGAGCUCGAUGAGUAGGGCGGGACACGUGGUAUCCUGUCUGAAUAUGGGGGGACCAUCCUCCAAGGCUAAAUACUCCUGACUGACCGAUAGUGAACCAGUACCGUGAGGGAAAGGCGAAAAGAACCCCGGCGAGGGGAGUGAAAAAGAACCUGAAACCGUGUACGUACAAGCAGUGGGAGCACGCUUCGGCGUGUGACUGCGUACCUUUUGUAUAAUGGGUCAGCGACUUAUAUUCUGUAGCAAGGUUAACCGAAUAGGGGAGCCGAAGGGAAACCGAGUCUUAACUGGGCGUUAAGUUGCAGGGUAUAGACCCGAAACCCGGUGAUCUAGCCAUGGGCAGGUUGAAGGUUGGGUAACACUAACUGGAGGACCGAACCGACUAAUGUUGAAAAAUUAGCGGAUGACUUGUGGCUGGGGGUGAAAGGCCAAUCAAACCGGGAGAUAGCUGGUUCUCCCCGAAAGCUAUUUAGGUAGCGCCUCGUGAAUUCAUCUCCGGGGGUAGAGCACUGUUUCGGCAAGGGGGUCAUCCCGACUUACCAACCCGAUGCAAACUGCGAAUACCGGAGAAUGUUAUCACGGGAGACACACGGCGGGUGCUAACGUCCGUCGUGAAGAGGGAAACAACCCAGACCGCCAGCUAAGGUCCCAAAGUCAUGGUUAAGUGGGAAACGAUGUGGGAAGGCCCAGACAGCCAGGAUGUUGGCUUAGAAGCAGCCAUCAUUUAAAGAAAGCGUAAUAGCUCACUGGUCGAGUCGGCCUGCGCGGAAGAUGUAACGGGGCUAAACCAUGCACCGAAGCUGCGGCAGCGACGCUUAUGCGUUGUUGGGUAGGGGAGCGUUCUGUAAGCCUGUGAAGGUGUGCUGUGAGGCAUGCUGGAGGUAUCAGAAGUGCGAAUGCUGACAUAAGUAACGAUAAAGCGGGUGAAAAGCCCGCUCGCCGGAAGACCAAGGGUUCCUGUCCAACGUUAAUCGGGGCAGGGUGAGUCGACCCCUAAGGCGAGGCCGAAAGGCGUAGUCGAUGGGAAACAGGUUAAUAUUCCUGUACUUGGUGUUACUGCGAAGGGGGGACGGAGAAGGCUAUGUUGGCCGGGCGACGGUUGUCCCGGUUUAAGCGUGUAGGCUGGUUUUCCAGGCAAAUCCGGAAAAUCAAGGCUGAGGCGUGAUGACGAGGCACUACGGUGCUGAAGCAACAAAUGCCCUGCUUCCAGGAAAAGCCUCUAAGCAUCAGGUAACAUCAAAUCGUACCCCAAACCGACACAGGUGGUCAGGUAGAGAAUACCAAGGCGCUUGAGAGAACUCGGGUGAAGGAACUAGGCAAAAUGGUGCCGUAACUUCGGGAGAAGGCACGCUGAUAUGUAGGUGAAGCGACUUGCUCGUGGAGCUGAAAUCAGUCGAAGAUACCAGCUGGCUGCAACUGUUUAUUAAAAACACAGCACUGUGCAAACACGAAAGUGGACGUAUACGGUGUGACGCCUGCCCGGUGCCGGAAGGUUAAUUGAUGGGGUCAGCGCAAGCGAAGCUCUUGAUCGAAGCCCCGGUAAACGGCGGCCGUAACUAUAACGGUCCUAAGGUAGCGAAAUUCCUUGUCGGGUAAGUUCCGACCUGCACGAAUGGCGUAAUGAUGGCCAGGCUGUCUCCACCCGAGACUCAGUGAAAUUGAACUCGCUGUGAAGAUGCAGUGUACCCGCGGCAAGACGGAAAGACCCCGUGAACCUUUACUAUAGCUUGACACUGAACAUUGAGCCUUGAUGUGUAGGAUAGGUGGGAGGCUUUGAAGUGUGGACGCCAGUCUGCAUGGAGCCGACCUUGAAAUACCACCCUUUAAUGUUUGAUGUUCUAACGUUGACCCGUAAUCCGGGUUGCGGACAGUGUCUGGUGGGUAGUUUGACUGGGGCGGUCUCCUCCUAAAGAGUAACGGAGGAGCACGAAGGUUGGCUAAUCCUGGUCGGACAUCAGGAGGUUAGUGCAAUGGCAUAAGCCAGCUUGACUGCGAGCGUGACGGCGCGAGCAGGUGCGAAAGCAGGUCAUAGUGAUCCGGUGGUUCUGAAUGGAAGGGCCAUCGCUCAACGGAUAAAAGGUACUCCGGGGAUAACAGGCUGAUACCGCCCAAGAGUUCAUAUCGACGGCGGUGUUUGGCACCUCGAUGUCGGCUCAUCACAUCCUGGGGCUGAAGUAGGUCCCAAGGGUAUGGCUGUUCGCCAUUUAAAGUGGUACGCGAGCUGGGUUUAGAACGUCGUGAGACAGUUCGGUCCCUAUCUGCCGUGGGCGCUGGAGAACUGAGGGGGGCUGCUCCUAGUACGAGAGGACCGGAGUGGACGCAUCACUGGUGUUCGGGUUGUCAUGCCAAUGGCACUGCCCGGUAGCUAAAUGCGGAAGAGAUAAGUGCUGAAAGCAUCUAAGCACGAAACUUGCCCCGAGAUGAGUUCUCCCUGACCCUUUAAGGGUCCUGAAGGAACGUUGAAGACGACGACGUUGAUAGGCCGGGUGUGUAAGCGCAGCGAUGCGUUGAGCUAACCGGUACUAAUGAACCGUGAGGCUUAACCUUACAACGCCGAAGAUGUUUUG
This 2924-nucleotide ribosomal RNA is filed under the name Escherichia coli. RNAcentral describes it as "LSU rRNA". It matches the Rfam family "Bacterial large subunit ribosomal RNA". Lineage: Bacteria; Pseudomonadati; Pseudomonadota; Gammaproteobacteria; Enterobacterales; Enterobacteriaceae. The record is from RNAcentral.